UUUAGGAAAGUUUGAUAAACGCCAGAUUUUGAUACUGGAGUGUGUAAUUAAAUUUACAUCCUAAAA
RNAcentral lists this transfer RNA (66 nucleotides) under Ibidoecus plataleae. RNAcentral's name for it is "tRNA-Gln". The record is from RNAcentral. Lineage: Eukaryota; Metazoa; Arthropoda; Insecta; Psocodea; Philopteridae.